Myotis brandtii (Brandt's bat) is the source of this 494-nucleotide long non-coding RNA. RefSeq lists it as uncharacterized. Lineage: Eukaryota; Metazoa; Chordata; Mammalia; Chiroptera; Vespertilionidae. The transcript has 2 exons. The record is from RefSeq and is a predicted model, not a curated record.
GCUUAGGCAUCUGGAGAGUUGGGGUUGGCUCCGUGGAGAUAAAGGGAAGUGGGGGACUAGGCUGCGCCAGGAAAACAACCUAAAGGUUAAGGCUAAGGCCUUCCGAGGUGACCGACACGUGGUCUGGAUUAGAGCUGGGCCGGCCUUGGCUUGGGGAGGAGGCGGCGCCGGCCGCGUGUGGCCAUUUCUUUCCCCCCCGCGCUGGGUCACGUCGGUGCCACCCAGUCUGUCAGCGCCUCGGAGGAAGGGGGGUGUCGGAGGCUCUGACGGCCGGAGCGCGGCGGGAGCCCCCGGUCCAGAGAGAACUUCAGGACUGAGGUGCGGGAGAGGUUUGCUCUCACGAAGGAGUUGCGUUAAAGGCACAGGUCACGACUGUUGGGCAAAUAGGAAAGGCAUGUGCUUCAGACAUCUGGUUUACCUCAUAAGAAGGGAGCCAGGGAGAGUGAAAGUCGGCCCAGAGAGCACUUGGAAAGCUCGGCGUGUGUCGGAAAUCU